ACGAACCGCACAAACGUUAUUCGGAAUCACUGGGCUUAAAGGGUGCGUAGGCGGUCCGGAAAGUUGGGUGUGAAAUCCCUCGUCUCAACCGAGGAACUGCGCUCAAAACUACCGGACUUGAGGGAGACAGAGGUGAGCGGAACUUAGGGUGGAGCGGUGAAAUGCGUUGAUAUCCUGAGGAACACCAGUUGCGAAGGCGGCUCACUGGGUCUUUUCUGACGCUGAGGCACGAAAGCUAGGGGAGCGAACGG
RNAcentral lists this ribosomal RNA (251 nucleotides) under uncultured prokaryote. RNAcentral describes it as "partial 16S rRNA". It matches the Rfam family "Bacterial small subunit ribosomal RNA", at positions 525 to 775 of the family's 1533-position model. The record is from RNAcentral.